GCGAGGGGGCGGGGCGCAGAUCUGUUUCCCUCAGACUUCGUCCGCCCGGGGCCGCUAAGGGAGCGCAAGGUCAAUUUCGCCUUAGGCCCCGCCUCCAGCUCAGGUACUAGGGGGUCUAGACCCGAGGCUGCCCGGGCCGGAGGCAGCCUUGAGUCCCGAGACCAAACGUCGUUUCCCUCUCGGACCUCGGGCGCUGGGCCGCGCGCUGACCGACAGCCCCUGCUAGGCCCAGCAGGUCCCCUAGUGCCCCGCAGUCCCCCGCAGUCCCCCGCAGUCCCCCGAGACUCGCCGAGCGCCGUUGCUGAGCCCUGCAAAUAGCAGUUACCUGCUUCAGCCUAGAUCCUGCCAUGAAGUGGGCUGCUGCUCCCUGGCUCCCACUCUGAUCUGCUUUUCACUCUUGCCUUGUCUCCCAAUUAAUAGGGGGUGGCUGGCAGAGGAUUCUCACACCGACAAGGAAGGCAUGCUUUGCUUUUGUUUUUAACAGCAUCGUAUGCCCGUAGUGACAGCGGGUGAAUCCAACAAAGUUAAAAAGAAAAAGUACUGGAGUUCGCAUGAAGGUUGAUUGCCCUAGAGAAGUCGACACGCUCACACAGAUGGAAAUGAUUUCACCGAGUCCUGAAAAAUGUCGUUGUCAGCCCCACAUACAAACCAUGACUUGUGUUUUCUUUAAGAUGAGGAGUCUGGUCAAGAGGUCUGUGUAAUGAAAGAUGUUUGUAGAAUCCA
RNAcentral lists this small RNA (723 nucleotides) under Pongo abelii (Sumatran orangutan). RNAcentral's name for it is "retained intron". The record is from RNAcentral. Lineage: Eukaryota; Metazoa; Chordata; Mammalia; Primates; Hominidae.